ACAUACAUCAUGGUCAAUUCAACAUUC
This 27-nucleotide small RNA is filed under the name Bombyx mori (domestic silkworm). Its description in RNAcentral is "ovarian small RNA-11133". Lineage: Eukaryota; Metazoa; Arthropoda; Insecta; Lepidoptera; Bombycidae. The record is from RNAcentral.